UCCUCCUAAUCUCUCUCAAAAACCCUCAAUUUAGACAUCCCCAGUCAAAAAUAACCUUGGACUCACAGUAAAGCACCCAUUCAAAAUCAAAUCUGAAGCUCCACAAAUUGAACGCAACCUUUAGAUUAAACAACUAGAAUAUCUCCUUUAAAUUCUUCUGCCUGAAAGGUUUAUUUUAGCUUUUAUGAAAAAAAGGAGAUAAAGCAAACAAAAUAGUCGAUUCUCCAGCUUGACUAUGUUAGGAAUUUGGAGAAUGGAGGUCUGGCCUCUUUUGAUAAAUUAUUGCAUAGUGGAG
Molecule: long non-coding RNA, 295 nt
Filed under: Nicotiana benthamiana
Lineage: Eukaryota; Viridiplantae; Streptophyta; Magnoliopsida; Solanales; Solanaceae
Description: long non-coding RNA (NBEN_LNC014675)
Source: RNAcentral